GGCGGCGAAACUCCGGCAACGUGAUCUCGCCGUUCCAUUUUUUGCAUACUGAAGCUGCUUUAGAAAAUUGAUCAACAGGUAGACGUAUGAGACAUUCAAGAGCUAUUUCAUUAGGUAUCCCCGGGAUCAGGUCCAUGGCCCUAGCUCGCCUUUUUGGUAUAUUAUGAUUUGGUCGUAAAUUUGUAUGGAAGAAAAUAUUUGAAGUAAAUUUAGUUAUGUUUUUUCCUUUUUCAGAUUUAGUAGAAAGGGAAAUAAAAUCAUGAAUUUAUGGGGCAAAAUGAAAGGACAUAAUUUAUGGAACGUUGGUUUGACAAAACUGUAAGCGUGACUGGGUCCAGUUUUAUAGUGUUCGUUGGGGAUGGAUAAUGAGUAGUGAAACAAGUUAAAGAGUUUACUUUGUGAAGUAGCAGUGGGGGCAAAGUGGAGGGCACAGAGUCCAGAGAGGUUGUUUUCAGAGUAAUACACACAAGUACUGCAACUUGGUGAAUACGGCUAUAAUCAAAAUUAUAAUUGGCUGGCUAUAAUAUUUAUAGAGUAAUUACAGGCAUAUAACGCGUAGAAGUUCUUGCGAUUGUCACGUGCCAUGACAUCAUUUAUUUAUUUUUUAUCCGAUCUAUAUUAUAUUGUAAAGUUAAAUUGUUCCUAAUUAUAAAAUGGUGACAUUAUUUUUGAGACAGACUAAAAAAAAAAAGAGCGUUAAAUAAAUUGAAACAAAGAGAGUAUCUCACAAGUCAUAUGGUCUCUACAUCAAAUAUAUAGCUAGGUUUAUAAUUGUAAAAUAAUACAUUUAUGUUAAGACUAUAUUUUGUUAAAACAACCCCACAUUAUUAUAUCUACUAACCAUUUAUUUCAUAUGUAAAUAAAAUCUAUAAUCACAUCAUUAUUUUUUAAAAUUUAUUAUUCUCACCAACAUAAAAUUCAUUAUUAAUUUUAAAUUGACGAAUAUAAAUGAUAAAGUAGAAAUUGAUUUGGUGAAUACAAAUAAGAAUCGAGGGAGUAAUAUUUUUUUGGUUUUUCAUAGUAAAAAAAAAAUCUCUUUCGGCUAAAUAUGAAAAUGUUUAAAACAAUUUAAUAUUAAAAUGGACAAAAUUGGUGAUGUAUGUUUGAUAGUUACUACUUCCAGUAUGUUUGAUUUUAGCACGAAACUAAUGCAUUGAAAAUGUGCAAUUGCACACAGGUGAAAUAAGGCAUGAACCAUUAUGAUAUUGACACACACGUGAAAAUUGUCAUAGCUUGUACAAUGUCACAUUUUGCGAGAAUACCAAAGAAGUGAUGGAAUAUUUAUGGUCUAUGAGCAUGAAAAUAUAGUUGCGGAUGAUAUUGACCAACAAAUGGCUCAAAUUAACAAUGUUGGUUCGUCUUCUUUGUCAUAUGAUCGAGAUAUGCAAGUUCAACGUGAGGAGAUUGUAUGUAUUAUGUGGGAGAAUUAUAUUAAAGAUCAGUACGUACACUACAAUUUUAUGUUCAAUUUUUUUAUUGAAUUAAAGUUUGAUCAAUUAAAAUUAGAAGAAAUUGUUACUUAAGUGGAGAACAAAUAACUUUGUAAUAAUUUAUUAUGCGAUUUUAUAAAUUUUUGUUUAUUUUAUAAGAUUGAAUAAACAAUUGGGGGCUAUUUUAAUAGUUUCACAACUUAUAGAAUUCUUAUGUUUAUGAGAAAAUAUACAACACACAUAUUCAAUAUCACAUGUCCAAACAAAACUUCAUUUUCGUCUCAUGAUUUCAUAUUAUGAUAUCAUAUCAUGAUUCUAUAUAAUGAUUUCAUAUCGCAUAUCCAAACAGGCCCUUAAUAUAUACUUAUUUUGUCUAACUUCAGACAAAAAUAUGUUCCUUCUUCACUUUUUCCUCGAACGUCCUCUUCUUUUAUUUCAAAUUUUAAUUUGGUGUUGGUAUGGAGAGUUAAUGCACGCAUGAAUGUAACAAAUACAAUCAUCUGAUAUUUUAAAAAUAUGUAGAAAAGAGAGAAGUGGAAACAUAUAAUACAAUUCAACAAAUACAAUUGCUUAACACUUAAAAAAUAUAGGCCUAACCCAUUGGUAGCCCCCUAAAGUUGGCAUCAUGUUUCACUUAGACAACUUAAGGAGGCAAUGUUCAUUUUAGACAGUUAAUGUAGGGUUUCAUUGUGUCAUUUUGACACUUUUUGUUUACAUAGCAUAACAUUGACUAGCGUGUGAAAUGAUUUUUUUUGUUAAUUUUUAAUUAUAUUUUUCUUCUUCUUCCCAUUUUUUAGCUACCAUUUUGCAUACAUCGUGAAUGAAGGUUUCAAUAACUGAUGGAGUGAAUUUCUUUGAACUAGCAAAAUCUUUCAUUCACUUAAACCUAUUAAUUAGGCCAAAAAAAGAAGGAGAAAGUGACUGUAAAAUUUUUCAAUGGCGCACAGAUUUAGUGAACCAAUGCAGAUGUUUCUGUCAAAGGAAUAAAGGUAUUUAGAGAAGACAAGCCGAUGGGCCAUUUUCUGCAAAAGGUAUGGCGAAGACACACGUUGGGCGGAGAGGAUAAUCAGUGUUUUAGGGGGUGGGGUAUUUGGAGAAAACUGUUUGGGGUGGGGGGUUUCUUUUAUUGAUUUAAGUUUUAUUUUAAUUUGUAAUUAUUUGGUUCAUGUGUCAUAUUAUCAUUGGCUAAUUUUUAUUUUCACUCAAAAUUAAUGAUUUAAAAAUUACUUUUGACAUAAAUGACAAAUGUCGUUAUUUAAUUUGUCACUUUACACGUCGUUCGCGAGUGUAACACACACAUUAUAUAUUUUUGUUGAUAUAAAAAAAGUGUCAAAAUAACACAAUGGGACCCAAUAUUAAGUGUCUAAAAUGAACAUCGCCUACUUAAGAUGUCUAACUGAAAUAUGGUGCCAACUUUAGGGGACUAUCGAUGGAUUAGGCCAAAAAUAUAUAUACAAAUAUAGGCACAGAAGGUGGAAACACAUGCUACAAUCUAAAUCCACUAUGAAAUAUGAAUACAAUAAUUAUAUAUAUCCAAAAAAAUAAUAUAAAUACAGUUGUUUGGUACCUCAACAAAUAUAGAAAUACUUAGAGGGGAGAGUGAAAAUACAAAAUACAAAUAAAGAGGGUGGGGAAAGAUAGAUAUGUUUGUUUGUUUUUUUUACUUAGCAUCUCAAACAAUGUUGAUAUGAAUCGUAAAUAUUCAAACUAUAAUUUUAGAUGGUUAAUUAUAUACCCAAAAUGAUAGUCAUGUUUGAAAUUUUCUCAUUAAUUUAUUCGCAUCAAAGGGAAAAUAUUUGAAACUCCAAUAGUUGACACACCACUAUUAUAAUAUAAGUAUUUCCUCCAUUUUAUUUUAAUAUGUUUCAAAAAGAAACGUCUUUUUUUUUAAGACAAACUCUUUAGUAUUAGCUUUCCACAUAACAUAUUUAAGUUAUCAGAUUAAAAGACAAUUUUAAUGCAUUUUUAGAUAUCUUUAGUUUAAAACCACGAAAUUUUUUUUAAAAAAUAUUUUCUUUAAUGUGAAAGGGAGGGAGAGUACUAGGUAAAACUAUAUAUGUCAUUUACUAUAUAUGGCGUUUACUUGAAAAAAUGCUGAUUAGAGCUUUAUGUAGGAUUCGAGACUGGACCAUUCAACAAAGGUGGACCAUGCAUAUAUAGGCCAUAACUCACUUUUGCUUUUUUGUUUUACCCUUUAAUUUUCUAUACUAACUUGGGAUAUUAAUUGGAUCACACUUUUAUAUGGAUGUGGUAGAAUUAUAUAUUCAUAUCUAUUGAAUUACUAGAUAUAGGACCCCGUGCCAGCACGGGGCCCAAUAUAUAUAUAUAUUUUUUUUUUAUUAUUAUUAUUAUUUUUUUUUAAUUUAUGUCAUAUUAUGGAAUUUGAGAAAUUAUUGAAAAUUUUAUAUGAUUUUUAAAAUAUUUUAAAUUGUUAGCUAUUGUGAUUUGUAGUACUUUUUUUUUAACAUAAUUUUGAAAAUAAUAUUUAUUACUCUCUUUGUUCUAAUUUAUGUGGCACAUGCAAAAUUUCAAAUAUUAACCCUUUUUUAUAUGUCUCUUUAAUAUAUUAAGUUGUUAAUUAUUGUAUUUUAUACUACAUUUUGAACCUACUUUUUUAAUAAUAUAUGUUAUUUGCCAUGUCCCAAUUUAUGUGGCAUUAAUUGAUAGAUUUGUUGGAGCUUGUUAAUUAUUGUAAUAUAUAAUAUGGAGUAUUUAAGUUAUAUAUAUUUAUUAUUAUUAUAAAUAUAAAUAUAAAUAUUAUAUGUUACCUUUUUUAUCUUAAUUUAUAUGGCAUUGAUAGAAUUUAAAGUGUCAAAUAAUUGUUAAUUAUUGUAAUAUAUAAUAUGGAGUAUUUAAGUUAUAUAUAUUUAUUAUUAUUAUAAAUAUAAAUAUAAAUAUUAUAUGUUACCUUUUUUAUCUUAAUUUAUAUGGCAUUGAUAGAAUUUAAAGUGUCAAAUAAUUGUUAAUUAUUGUAAUAUAUAAUAUGGAGUAUUUAAGUCAUUUAUAGUAUAGUAAUUAAUAUAUAAUAUGUAGUAUUAAAGUGGAAAGUGGUGGGGCCCACGUAUAAAUAUAUUGGAUAUUAGUAGUGAUUCUUAUUGGAACACAUGUUGAGGUGUGGUGCUUGGUUAUUCACACUUAUUAUAUAUAGUAAUAUAAAUUUUAAAAGAAAAGAUUCUUUGAGUCUUCUCGAAGGAAAAAGACCGCAAAGAGAAGUUCAUGAUAUCUCUUUCGGAUGAAUUGUCAAAAGUUUAAAAUUUAUAAAUCGUGAAUUCAUAUAACAAUAUAAUUUAGUCAUUGAGUUCAUACAUUUAAUAUGUUGAGAGAGAUCUAAACAAAACUUAUUUGAUUUGUUCGAGCCAACACCUCUUUCUACCAAAGAAACAUGACAUGAAGGGUGAUGGUCAAGUGUUCUGGCAUGAUUCGUUGUCAUGGAAAAAUCCAUUUGCUUAUAACACUACUAUAAAAUGUGAUAGUUUUGGCAACAUUGUAUGUUUUAUAUAUUGGAGAUUUCAAAGUUUUUAAUUGUCUUUUUAUAUAUAUACCAUAUUAUUGUAAGCUAACCAAUGAUGUGGACAACUCGUGUAAAAUACUUUGCCACAGCUAGUUUUAAUCUUUUGUUAUUAUAAUGAUAGUAUAAAAUUUGUUUAAACUAUUAAAUAUAACACAAAUUAUUUAACUCGUGCGUUACAUGCUUGAUUUAUUAAGUGUACCUGAGUCGGGUAUAAAAAAUGAUACUCUUUCUAUAUUCAUUCACAAGAUAAAAAUAAUUAAGAUUGCGUACACAUUACUAUCUUCAAACCCCGCGCAUAGAAAGAAACUUUAGAGUGACGAAAAUUGUGGAGUAGAUUUUUUUUGUUAGUAUCCCAAACUUUAUUAGUCACUACCAUAAGAUUCUCUAUAGCUGGACAAAGCUGCUACGUAAAUAAAAUAAAAGGGGAAAGAAGAAAAAGAGGUAAGGUUGUUUUUAAAACUGAAAGGAAUAAAGGGAAGAGGAAAAAGGAAAAGCGACUAAAUUAAAUUAAAUUAAAUUAAAUGGGAAUAAAGGUAAUCUUCUUGUUUUUUAACAAAGGCUAACCACACUAUAGAUGACUAGCCAUAAAGGCAAAAUGUAUGGUUCAAAUUGCAGACGUGGUAAUGUACACAUUUUAUGUUAGAUGAGAAAACACACUUGAACCAAAAAAAAUAAAAAAAAUAAUGAGAAAAGACGUUUCCUAUUGGUGUUCUAGAUUCGCGCCAUGUAUGACCUAUUAGCGUUGUUUAUCAAGAAUAUUUUCAUCUUCAAAAGUCAAAUUCGAGACUUUUGAUUGAGGAAAGAGCAACUUCAUUCACUUUACCACGUAACAGAUGAUAGUUUUUUCGAUUAUUAGACGGCAACUGACAUUCGAUUAUUCUUUGUCCAUUUUUAGUGCUGUUAAAUCGAUUAGUAUAAUUUGUUUGUUUCCGCAUGUUUGUACGAAGAAUAAGGAAUAGUUAUUAAUUUCAUAAUUAAUUUAAGAUGCAUUUAUUAUAUGUUUGAUUGAGAUAAAAUUAUAAGAUAAUUUACUUUGAGAUUGUAGUGUUAUUUUUAUCCCACAUUAAGAAUGACGAGGCGAGUAACAAAUAUAAAGAGAUAUUAAUAUGGUGCAAAAGAGAGAAAUAAAAUACCCUCUAAUUAAAAAAAAAUUAUUAAAGGGAUGUACAAAACAAAAUACACCCUUGAUUCCUUUUUAUUUGUCACAGUUUCAUUUUUAUAGUGAAACGAUAUGAACUUUGACUAAUAAUUUAAGAUGUAUUUUUCAGUAUUAUUGAUAUAAAAAAAAUUGUAAUUUCUAGUACUUUUUGUAUAGUUUUUGAAUAUCUAAUUUUUUUAUUUUUAAAUAUAUUAAAUUAAUGCAAAACAUUGAAAGUUAAUACUCUAAAAAAAUGUAACGUGACGGCUAAACAGGAACGGAUGGAGUAUAACAAGCAAGAUGGACCAUAGGGAGAAAUUUCUUCCUCAUUAAUACUUAUUAUUGAUUUGUCAGGAAGAAGAAUCAUCUUACCAAGUUGAUUAGCUAAUUAAUCUGAUUAUAAAGUCAACUCCAACAUUAUUGUAAUGAGCAUUAAUUAAUAAUAACAUGUUUAAUUGAACAAAUUCAAGCAUUAGCCACCGAUAUCAUCGAUCCACUUGCUCUAAACCAUCCAUUUUUCAACUUCAUUAUUUUGAGAAUGUAUAAUAGCUUCUUCCCAUAUUUUUUAAUUAAAUGAUGUUUGCAGAUAAUUAUUGAUUCAUUACACUUAAUGUCAAUAAAAUUGAUUUUUGUAACGAAAAAAUUACUCAACUAUGUUUAUAUCGUAAAGGAAAUUUUAAAAUAUCAACAAAAUGAUAUUUUUUUCUUUUUCUUGGUAUUUUUAUUUUGGGAUCCCACUAAUUCAGCAUUUUCGAUAAAAUGUUUUGUUCGACUCUACAAACACAAAUAUCUCUAUAGUAGUACCAAGCAAAAACGUUUUUUUCCUCCAUUAGAUUAGCAAAAGUGUGGCACAAUAGUAAUCUUUAACCAUGACUGCAAGAAAUUGAAUGUCAAAUGUAGGCAGUAGGCCAAUACUAUGCUUUUUCACAUGUAGUAUUUUGUCAAAACAUGAUUCACAAUACACAAUGGUACAUAGCCAAAAAUAAAAGCAAUCAUGACAGAAUAAUUUUAUUUUAUUUUUCCAUUUGUUAUCUGAUAAUCGUAUUAAGGUUUGAUUAGUCCAAAUUUGUAUAUUACAUGACUCAUUGUUAAAGGCGGUGCUUCCAACAAAAUUAAAAAAUGAGACGGAUCGAGAUAGAAGAUCUCUAACCAUGACCAUAAUGCAAUAACAAUAUGUAGAUAGUAAUCAAUAUGGAUCGUGGUGAAAUGAUUGAGAUUCCUCUAUCCUUGACCAGAAAUUUCAUAUUCGAGCCCUAAUAUGCCGAAUGAAAAAAGAAGACAAUAUGCAGAUAGUAAACCAAUUCAAAACUUGAAACACAAUACACAACUGUACAUGCUAAAAAUUAGAGCAAUCAUGCCAGAAUAAUUGAGUAUCUUAGAAAGGAAAUUAAAAGGACAAAAAAACACUCUCAUUCUUAAAACUAAGUACUGAUUUUUGUCAUAUUUCCAAACAACAACCAUAUUGAACAUGACCACUAUAUUCAUCAGAAGUUUCUACUUUUGUCCAUUUUUUCACUUUGCCAUCACUCUCCACAUCCAAAUCCAAAGCAUAAAUACUAUAUAGUUCAUCAAAUUGGCCCCUUCCCACCAAUAUCAACUUCCCUUGACACGCUGUCAAAUAUGCCACGCUGGUAAUCCCUGCUGGCAACCCCGCCAACUUCUGCCACGUAGGAUCUUCCUUCACUGCCACGUCACCACCUCGGCACAGGUAUAAUCUCCCAUCAUCACCUUCAAUGCAACUAUGAGGAGAAGUGUUGAUCACACUCAAGAAGUCAUCUUCCAGUUGCCACUGCCACGUGGCGGUGUCGAACACCUCAGCAUCAUUCUCAAAGUGACCUUGCGCCCACGUAGGAUAACCGCCGAUGACGUGGAAUUUACCUUUGUGAAAUACAACCUUACAUUCGUCUCUCUCCAUGACCAUGUCAGGAAGUGUAAUCCACUCGUCUUUAACGACGUCGUAUGAGAGCGCCGAUUUCAUCGCAUUCUUUUCGUCGUCAUGGCCACCGGCGACGACGAUCAUUCUAUCGGAAUCCGAUGCACAUCCGAAGAACGACCUCUGCUGACCUGGCAUAUCCGCCCCACGACGCCAUGACCCGGAUAUGAAAUUGUAAACGAAAACACAAUCCAUAACCCGCCAAGUAUCCGGAUCACACCCGCCAAUCACUACUAAAUCCGACCCGACUCCAACAAUCCGGCAAAACCUCGGCAAUCCAUCAAUCAACUCCGGUAUUGGCGGCAAAUCGUACCAGGAGCCGUUUUCCGGGUCACAUACGGAGAGACGGUAAACCUGAGUAGAAAAAAGUGCAGUAUCACCCUCUGAUUUUUUCACAGUAGCAACCAUAGAUUGUACCAUGGCUAAAACGGGUCGGGUCAACCCGGAAAAUUUCCGCCGGCGGAGAAACUCCGGCAACUUGAUCUCACCGUUCCAUUUUCUACAUACUGAAGCUGCUUUAGAAAAUUGAUCAACAGGGAGACGUAUGAGACAUUCAAGAGCUAUUUCAUUAGGUAGCCCCGGGAUCAAGUCCAUGGCUCUAGCUUACUUUUUUUGUAUUAUGAUUUGCUUUUGGAUUGGAAGAAAUAUUUGAAGCAAUUUUAGUUAUGGUUUUUCCAUUUUCAGAUUUAGUAGAAAGGGAAAUAAAAUGAUGAAUUUAUGACAAAAUGGAAGGACGUUGGUUUGACAAAACCGUAAGCGUGUGUGGGUGCAGGUUUAUACUGUUUGUUGCGGAUGGAUAAAUGAGUAGGGACACAAAAAAAGAGUUUACUUUGUGAAGUAGCAGUAGGGGCAAAGGAGAGGUUGUUUUCAGAGUAAUACACAAGUAGCGCAACUUGGUGAAUACGGCUAUAAUCAAAAUUAUUAUAAUAUUUAUAGAGGUACAGGCAUAUGAUGUUAAGAAGUUCUUGCGAUUGUCACGUGCCAUGACAUCAUGUUUUAAUUGAUACGAUUCGUAUUGAAUUCCAACUAAAUUAUGAGUACUUAUAUAACAUAGUACUUGAUAAAAAAAAAGUCAAAAGUUAUGAAGUUUUAAGUAUAAAUUAUUAAAAAACAAAGUAAAAUAAUAAAUUUAUUUAUUUAAAUUUUGGUGGAUAAAAUUAUUCGAUACUAUGCAGGGUGGAGGUACUACUCAUUUGGAGUACAUUAAACGCUCGAUAUGAAUAAUUUUCCAGUGGUUUCUUAGUCUUGGUCUUUCCAUUAUUUUGUUAAUUAUUAUAGUUGGCUAUUAAUAAUAUAUAUGCCUUUCUGGCCCCAUUCGUAAUGUUUACUGCUUGUCACUAAUAUUUUUUUAAUAUUGUCUUUUCAUUGUUUAAAACUAUCUAUGUUUUGUAAUUUUAUGUAAUGCAUUUUCACAACUCAUACCUUACCACUAAACAAUCGAUCAAUUUUGUUACGGGAUUCAUAAGUUAAUAUACACAUAUAUUUAUUUAAUUUUUUAAUAUAAAUACAAGAAUUACGGAAAAGCUACUGAGUUAGUCCAAAUCAGCAAACCCUCACUCAGCUCCGCCCCUUAUCCCAUCAUUUGUUGUUUACCCUUGCUUGGUAUUUAACUAUUCGAACACGUUCGGCAUCAAAUACGUUAAUGAUUUGUACUUUAUAACCAUUUAGUUUAAUGACAAUUAUAGAGUCGUGUUAUAAGAUGGGUCUCAAUAAUUAAUAAGAUAAUUCUCUUGUAGAAAAAUAUUACACAAAAACUAGCAAGUUUAAAAUAAAAUAAUGGAGAUAAUAAUCCGGUAAAUUGACUUUAUGCUAGUGCCUAUUUUUUAGCGGUUUAUUUGGUAUUUUGAAUAAUUUAAAUUUGUGCUGAAAAUUUUCAUAUUUGGAGGCAAAAACAUGUCCUACCCAAAAUUACCAGACUAACCUAUUAUUACUUUUACUAAAACUGGUCUUUAGCGACAAGUUAUAGUAUAAGUUAAUUAUAGCUAAAUAUGUUUCUUAAAGGUAUAUAUUACUCUUUGUAAAUGUUGCUAAAACCUCUAAAGAUAUUGCAUUCAAUGUCAAUUAACUAAUGUCGAUAAAUAUUUUAUUAUUUUUUUAUUAAUGUACAUAUUUUUUUUCACGAAAAAUUGCUUUUUUGGGGAGUAUACCUCCUAUGCUUUUCAAACCCCUUUCUAGUCCUCUUAUCCUUAGUUCCCCUUAUCUUUUCUUCUUGCCCUAUUCAAUGUUAAUUAGGCAUGUUUCAGCAUGCUGCUUUGAUAUUUUUGAAUUUCAAACUAACAUAAUUUAAUUGAUUUUGCCGGAUCUAUACGAAAUCAAAAUGGUCAUAUAUUCUAGGAUGAUUCAACUUUAAUAAGUUGAAACAUAUUAACAAAUUUAUUAUAUUGUGUAUAGCUUAGUCUAGCUUCAUUAUUUUCCACAUGAUACAUUCUUAAUCUUAGAAUAUAAGCUAUUAGUUUUUAGCACUUCAAAUGAUGAUGUUUUCAUAAAUGUUGACAUUGACAAAUUUAUAAUCUAAUUCAUCAUAUAUAUAUAUAUAUCUAAGCACAUGGAACUAGUCUUUUCCUUGAAAUAAGAUGCAAUGAAAAAAAAUAACUUUGCUAAUGAAGCAUGACAACUAUGUUCACAUUAUUUUACAAGGUAUUUGUUGAAUAUAUCUAACGUUUAUUUCACAAUAUCUACUUGAAAUUAUAAAUUAAAAAAAAAAGAGACAAACAAUUUAGAUAUAUUACAUCAAAAGGCGGUGCCUUCUAGUAGAUUAAAUAUUUUGCGCAUGAAAGUUAUAAACAAGUGAGAUCAGAAGUGGGACGUACAAAUUGAGAUUGUAUUUGUUGUGAACCAAACUAACUACAUAAGGGCCUAUGGGCUGGAAGUGGUGAAUGAGACUGGUCCAUUUAAGAUUAUUGGGCUGAUUAAAAUGUUGGAGAGUUUUAUUUGGAAUCCAGGCCCAACUAUCAAUUGGUUAAAUAGGUCUUUGAGUUAACACAAAAGGGUUAUGUGAAUUAUGAUUAUGCUUAGGCAAAGACUAUGCUUCUCAUCCCCAAUUCUCUCUUAGUUCCCUCAUCCCAUCUUCUUUAUAGCUACUGUUAUUGAUCGUCUUUUUCAUAUUGUAAUUGCUCAAUUUUCGUAUGAAUCAAAGCUUGUUAGUUUGUUCUCUCUAUUGUUUGUUGUUGAGUUGAGAAAAUCACUACAUCCAAGUAGCGUUUGUUACAGUAUCUAUGGUUGUUUUUCGAUUAAUUCGUUUUUGCACUAUAUAGAAUAGGCAUAAUACAUAAAUUGGACCCUAAAAUUGGCUUCGAAUUUUAAGUAUGACCUCUAACUUUCAAAGUGCACAAGUAGGCACUUCAACUAUCCAAUUCUUAAACAAAAAAACACCCGAAUCCAACCUGGCAUAACGCGUGAUUGAGACGCAAUUCAGGUGCGAGGCCCACAACAGUAAAAAAAAAAAAAAAAAAAAACGGGAAAAAAAAACAGUUAUCUGAUAAUCGUAUUAAGGUUUGAUUAGUCCAAAUUUGUAUAUUACAUGACUCAUUGUUAAAGGCGGUGCUUCCAACAAAAUUAAAAAAUGAGACGGAUCGAGGUAGAAGAUCUCUAACCAUGACCAUAAUGCAAUAACAAUAUGUAGAUAGUAAUCAGUAUGGAUCGUGGUGAAAUGGUUGAGAUUCCUCUAUCCUUGACCAGAAAUUUCAUAUUCGAGCCCUAAUAUGCCGAAUGAAAAAAGAAGACAAUAUGCAGAUAGUAAACCAAUUCAAAACUUGAAACACAAUACACAACUGUACAUGCUAAAAAUUAGAGCAAUCAUGCCAGAAUAAUUGAGUAUCUUAGAAAGGAAAUUAAAAGGACAAAAAAUCACUCUCAUUCUUAAAACUAUGUACUGAUUUUUGUCAUAUUUCCAAACAACAACCAUAUUGAACAUGACCACUAUAUUCAUCAGAAGUUUCUACUUUUGUCCAUUUUUUCACUUUGUCAUCACUCUCCACAUCCAAAUCCAAAGCAUAAAUACUAUAUAGUUCAUCAAAUUGGCCCCUUCCCACCAAUAUCAACUUCCCUUGACACGCUGUCAAAUAUGCCACGCUGGUAAUCCCUGCUGGCAACCCCGCCAACUUCUGCCACGUAGGAUCUUCCUUCACUGCCACGUCACCGCCUCGGCACAUGUAUAAUCUCCCAUCAUCACCUUCAAUGCAACUAUGAGGAGAAGUGUUGAUCACACUCAAGAAGUCAUCUUCCAGUUGCCACUGCCACGUGGCGGUGUCGAACACCUCAGCAUCAUUCUCAAAGUGACCUUGCGCCCACGUAGGAUAACCGCCGAUGACGUGGAAUUUACCUUUGUGAAAUACAACCUUACAUUCGUCUCUCUCCAUGACCAUGUCAGGAAGUGUAAUCCACUCGUCUUUAACGACGUCGUAUGAGAGCGCCGAUUUCAUCGCAUUCUUUUCGUCGUCAUGGCCACCGGCGACGACGAUCAUUCUAUCGGAAUCCGAUGCACAUCCGAAGAACGACCUCUGCUGACCUGGCAUAUCCGCCCCACGACGCCAUGACCCGGAUAUGAAAUUGUAAAUGAAAACACAGUCCAUAACCCGCCAAGUAUCCGGGUCACACCCGCCAAUCACUACUAAAUCCGACCCGACUCCAACAAUCCGGCAAAACCUCGGCAAUCCAUAAAUCAACUCCGAUAUCGGCGGCAAAUCAUACCAGGAGCCGUUUUCCGGGUCACAUACAGAGAGCCGGUAAACCUGAGUAGAAAAAAGUGCAGUAUCACCCUCUGGUUUUUUCACAGUAGCAACCAUAGAUUGUACCAUGGCUAAAACGGUUCGGGUCAACCCGGAAACUUUCCGCCGGCGGCGAAACUCCGGCAACGUGAUCUCACCGUUCCAUUUUUUGCAUACUGAAGCUGCUUUAGAAAAUUGAUCAACAGGGAGACGUAUGAGACAUUCAAGAGCUAUUUCAUUAGGUAGCCCCGGGAUCAGGUCCAUGGCUCUAGCUCGCUUUUUUUGGUAUUAUGAUUUGGUCGUAAAUUUGUAUGGAAGAAAAUAUUUGAAGUAAAUUUAGUUAUGUUUUUUC
RNAcentral lists this long non-coding RNA (13070 nucleotides) under Solanum tuberosum (potato). RNAcentral describes it as "long non-coding RNA (STUB_LNC006744)". The record is from RNAcentral. Lineage: Eukaryota; Viridiplantae; Streptophyta; Magnoliopsida; Solanales; Solanaceae.